Anolis sagrei ordinatus is the source of this 1032-nucleotide long non-coding RNA. RefSeq lists it as uncharacterized. NCBI's taxonomy places the organism in Eukaryota, Metazoa, Chordata, Lepidosauria, Squamata, Anolidae. The record is from RefSeq and is a predicted model, not a curated record.
CUGCAGCUGGCGACCUGUCUCCUGAGCUGGCCUGAUUACAACCAAUCAAAAGAAGUGUGCAGCUUUUCAAGAGAUGGAAAAGGAACGAAACUUGCACCUGGCCCUUGAAUAAAUCUGGGUGAUUUAGGAUCCCAUACCAGGAAAUCCGAUCUCUCUUCAUGAAUCCUGUUCUAAGACAAACAUACAGACCAAGGCAACAGCAGGGCCUCCAAUUAUCGUGCCAUUUUAUGGGAACAGAAACUUUGCUUAAAAUGUAGGACAUCGUUCUUCCCCAAUUAGUCAUAACUGCUGGGGAUGAUGGAAGCGUUAACCCAACACUUUUGCAAAGCACUGGUUUGGCACAAAGUUAUCUUAAAAGAAGACAAUUAUAUUCUAUUAUAGGUAAGGCAUUUUUUCAGUUGCUUGUAAGUUUACACAUUUUUUGAAACUAAAACAGGAAAUAGAAUGAAGUAUUCCCUCUAAAAUCCUAUGUAUUCUUUUUUCCUACUAAAUUCCAAUGUAUUGUUAAGAUGGGACUGUUCCAACACAAGAUCUUAACGGCUGAUAUAUGGUUGCAAAUGAUGAUUCAUAGCAAAACUUUCAGGUUUAUUGCCUACCUAAAUCUGCAAAAACUGGGAAGCUGCAGGUUAUAUUACAUAUUAGAUGAAUUCCAGAAUUGUGAACCAUUAAACCAAAGUACUUUAAUAAAUCCAGACAAGAACCAAAGAAAUGAUUGCCUUUGCCAUCCAAGGAACAUGGCAUUUGCUCAACUCCUGCACUAUUUUUAAUACUCAAGAAUACAUGGGAGUCAAAUACAGUUGCAUCUCUAAAUUAGAACAAACUUACUCAAAUCCAUUCAAAUUUAAGUUGCAUUGAUUCAGUUGAUCUCUAGUUUUUUAUCAGCCACUGGAUUAGAUGUUACAUUACAUAUUGUGGGGCAUACUGAUUUUAUUGUGCUACUUUCCUAUAUAUGUAACUCAAAUUGCACUACAACUGAGAUUUACAUUAUGGUAAAUAUUGUUAUGUUGGACAGGGGAAGUUUUUCCAGCACUA